GAGUUUGAUCAUGGCUCAGAACGUACGCUGGCGGCACGCCUAACACAUGCAAGUCGAACGAAGUAGCAAUACUUAGUGGCAGACGGGUGAGUAACAUGUGGGUAUCUGCCCUUUGGCCUGGAAUAACACGAGGAAACUUGUGCUAAUACCGGAUAAGUCUUUACGGAGAAAGCUUUAUGCACCAUUGGAUGAGCCUGCACUUGAUUAGUUUGUUGGUGGGGUAAUGGCCUACCAAGACUGUGAUCAAUAGCUGAUUUGAGAGGAUGAUCAGCCACAUUGGGACUGAGACACGGCCCAAACUCCUACGGGAGGCAGCAGUGGGGAAUCUUGCACAAUGGAGGAAACUCUGAUGCAGCGAUGCCGCGUGAGUGAAGAAGGCCUUUGGGUUGUAAAGCUCUUUCGUCGGGGAAGAAAAUGACUGUACCCGAAUAAGAAGGUCCGGCUAACUUCGUGCCAGCAGCCGCGGUAAUACGAAGGGACCUAGCGUAGUUCGGAAUUACUGGGCUUAAAGAGUUCGUAGGUGGUUGAAAAAGUUAGUGGUGAAAUCCCAGAGCUUAACUCUGGAACUGCCAUUAAAACUUUUCAGCUAGAGUAUGAUAGAGGAAAGCAGAAUUUCUAGUGUAGAGGUGAAAUUCGUAGAUAUUAGAAAGAAUACCAAUUGCGAAGGCAGCUUUCUGGAUCAUUACUGACACUGAGGAACGAAAGCAUGGGUAGCGAAGAGGAUUAGAUACCCUCGUAGUCCAUGCCGUAAACGAUGUGUGUUAGACGUUGGAAAUUUAUUUUCAGUGUCGCAGGGAAACCGAUAAACACACCGCCUGGGGAGUACGACCGCAAGGUUAAAACUCAAAUGAAUUGACGGGGACCCGCACAAGUAGUGGAGCAUGUGGUUUAAUUCGAAGAUACGCGCAGAACCUUACCAACACUUGACAUGUUCGUCGCGACUCUAAGAGAUUAGAGUUUUCGGUUCGGCCGGACGAAACACAGGUGCUGCAUGGCUGUCGUCAGCUCGUGUCGUGAGAUGUUGGGUUAAGUCCCGCAACGAGCGCAACCCUCACUUUUAGUUGCCAUCAUUAAGUUGGGCACUCUGAAAGAACUGCCAGUGAUAAGCUGGAGGAAGGUGGGGAUGACGUCAAGUCCUCAUGGCCCUUACGUGUUGGGCUACACACGUGCUACAAUGGUAUCUACAACAGGAAGCAAGACUGCGAAGUUAAGCAAAUCCCUAAAAGAUACCUCAGUUCGGAUUGCACUCUGCAACUCGAGUGCAUGAAGCUGGAAUUACUAGUAAUCGUGGAUCAGCGUGCCACGGUGAAUGCGUUCCCGGGUCUUGUACACACCGCCCGUCACACCAUGGGAGUUGGUUCUACCUUAAGGCAAGGUUUCAAACCCUUGACCACGGUAUAGUCAGCGACUGGGGUGAAGUCGUAACAAGGUAACC
This 1435-nucleotide ribosomal RNA is filed under the name uncultured marine bacterium. RNAcentral's name for it is "bacterial SSU rRNA". It matches the Rfam family "Bacterial small subunit ribosomal RNA". The record is from RNAcentral.